ACGGGGGGUGCAAGCGUUGUUCGGAAUCAUUGGGCGUAAAGCGCGCGCAGGCGGCUUGGUAAGUCAGAUGUGAAAUCCCUGGGCUUAACCCAGGAAGUGCAUUUGAUACUGCCUCGCUAGAGUACGGGAGAGGAAAGUGGAAUUCCAGGUGUAGCGGUGGAAUGCGUAGAUAUCUGGAAGAACACCAGCGGCGAAGGCGGCUCUCUGGCCUAGGACUGACGCUGAAGCGCGAAAGCGUGGGGAUCGAACAG
RNAcentral lists this ribosomal RNA (251 nucleotides) under uncultured prokaryote. Its description in RNAcentral is "partial 16S rRNA". It matches the Rfam family "Bacterial small subunit ribosomal RNA", at positions 525 to 775 of the family's 1533-position model. The record is from RNAcentral.